Triticum aestivum (bread wheat) is the source of this 1096-nucleotide long non-coding RNA. RefSeq lists it as uncharacterized. The transcript has 3 exons. NCBI's taxonomy places the organism in Eukaryota, Viridiplantae, Streptophyta, Magnoliopsida, Poales, Poaceae. The record is from RefSeq and is a predicted model, not a curated record.
CCUAGGGGUCGUAGGCGUUCUAGGGUUAUCCUCCCCGUCCGAACCGUUUUUGUGUUCCUUCCGCGCCGCCGUUUUUUGCUUCUCGAUUCACCGGCGUUCCUUCUUCCUCAACACGCCAUGUUCCGCCGUCGGCGAGCUUCUGUUGCACAACUGCCUCCGCGCCGGUGCCGUCCACCUGCCCUGAAAUUUUCGUCCGCAACCCCUUCUUUACGGUUUUUUAGUUUUGCGUCCUGCAGGGUUGGUCAGUCUAUUCCUCUUCCGUUUCUUCCCCUGCGGCGGCGGACUCGGCGGCGCCAUAGUACAGGAUGAAUCGGUCGUCUGCGUCCUGUAACUCGCUGGAGUCGCCUUCAAAAUUUCUCUCUUGGGGCUGGAGCUGGACACAGGGUGUGGGAGCAUCAUUUGCGAGAAUGCCUUCUAGAUAGGUUUCAAUACAGGCUGAUCUAUCUGCAACGCUGCCGCAGCAGAGUAACACUAAAUUUUGUUUGGGGUGUAUGUCAUCGUAUACUGUAAGUUAUUUUGUGUGAUUCUUUUGUGCUUGGAUUAGCAGGUAAUAUCAUGAGGUUUCUGGAUCUCAGCGGCAGAAUAAUAUUUCUAGAAAAUAUGAAUUACAUAUCGCUUGUUACCUUGCCCAAUUUUUCUGCAUGACUGGAUUAAGAGAACAAUUUUACCACCAGCUAUCAACCCAGCACAAGGUUUCUAGAACUCACGAACAAUAUAGUCCAAAUGUUCCAUGGCAACAAAAAGCAAGCAACUACCAAGUCAAAGCUUCCUGUAACCGGAAAAAAAAGCCCCCUGUCGCUCCCAAGGCGAAUGAUGCCACAUCUAAUAGUGUCGUGCCUAAUGCUGCCAAUAGUCUACCAGGGUGUACUCGAAGCCACUGAAGCUCAUGGAUUAGCAUUGUCCCGCUCUAGAUGAUGUUCUGAUUUGUACUCCCUCCGUUUCAAAUUACUCGUCGUGGUUUUAGCUAAAACCACGACGAGUAAUUUGGAACGGAGGGAGUAAUAAACUAGAUUGUGUCUUUCUUUUUGAGAGGGAAUUAGAUUGUGCUUUUGUUGGAACAAACACAACAUUAUUCAGGAUGUUCUUUUGGUUUCAA